GUGAGGAAUUUUCCGCAAUGGGCGAAAGCCUGACGGAGCAAUGCCGCGUGAAGGAUGAAGGCCUAUGGGUUGUAAACUUCUUUUCUUAGAGAAGAAUAUUGACGGUAUCUGAGGAAUAAGCAUCGGACAACUCUGUGCCAGCAGCCGCGGUAAGACAGAGGAUGCAAGCGUUAUUCGGAAUGAUUGGGCGUAAAGCGUCUGUAGGUGGCUUCAAAAGUCUCCUGUCAAAGAUCAGGGCUUAACCCUGGGACGGCAGGAGAAACUCUGAGGCUAGAGGUUGGUAGGAGCAGAGAGAAUUCCCGGUGGAGCGGUGAAAAGCGUAGAGAUCGGGAGGAACACCAAAGGCGAAAGCACUCUGCUGGGCCACAACUGACACUGAGAGACGAAAGCGAGGGGAGCAAAAGGGAUUAGAAACCCCAGUAGUCC
This 426-nucleotide ribosomal RNA is filed under the name uncultured bacterium. Its description in RNAcentral is "partial 16S ribosomal RNA". It matches the Rfam family "Bacterial small subunit ribosomal RNA", at positions 354 to 796 of the family's 1533-position model. The record is from RNAcentral.